RNAcentral lists this unclassified non-coding RNA (391 nucleotides) under soil metagenome. RNAcentral describes it as "partial contains 5.8S ribosomal RNA, internal transcribed spacer 2, and large subunit ribosomal RNA". The stretch from base 1 to 122 matches the Rfam family "5.8S ribosomal RNA", at positions 35 to 154 of the family's 154-position model. The record is from RNAcentral.
GAUGAAGAACGCGGCGAAAUGCGAUACUUGGUGUGAAUUGCAGAAUCCCGUGAACCAUCGAGUCUUUGAACGCAAGUUGCGCCCGAAGCCAUUAGGCCGAGGGCACGCCUGCCUGGGCGUCACACGUCGUUGCCCCCCCAUCUACUCCUUCGGGAUUGCGGGGGGCGGAUGAUGGCCUCCCGUGCGCCACGCCGCGCGGUUGGCAUAAAUGCCAAGUCCUCGGCGACGCACGCCACGACAAUCGGUGGUUGCGAAACCUCGGUUGCCCGUCGUGUGCGGUCGUCGCGCAUCGAGGGCUCGAAAAAAUUGCCGGGUUCCGGCUCGGCUUUCAACGCGACCCCAGGUCAGGCGGGGUUACCCGCUGAAUUUAAGCAUAUCAAUAAGCGGAGGA